GAGCAAUGAGCUUUUUGCUCUAUUCUUGGAUGAUACCAUGAGUUAUUCCACUGCGGUAUUCAAGUCAGACGAUGAGGAUCUGAAAACUGCACAGAUGAGGAAAAUAAACCUUUUAAUUGAUAAGGCUAGAAUAGAAAAGAACC
Molecule: long non-coding RNA, 143 nt
Organism: Brassica oleracea var. oleracea
Lineage: Eukaryota; Viridiplantae; Streptophyta; Magnoliopsida; Brassicales; Brassicaceae
Exons: 3
Source: RefSeq, a predicted model, not a curated record